AUUCCGGUUGAUCCUGCCGGAGGCCAUUGCUAUCGGAGUCCGAUUUAGCCAUGCUAGUCGUGCGAGUUCAGACUCGCGGCACCGAGCUCAGUAACACGUGGCCAAACUACCCUACAGAGACGGAUACCCUCGGGAAACUGAGGUUAACCCGUCAUACCGAUCUCAGGCUUGAAUCGCAGAGAUCACAAAACGCCCCGGCGCUGUAGGAUGUGGCUGCGGUUGAUUAGGUAGACGGUGGGGUAACGGCCCACCGUGCCCAUAAUCAGUACAGGUUGUGAGAGCAAGAACCUGGAGACGGAAUCUGAGACAAGAUUCCGGGCCCUACGGGGCGCAGCAGGCGCGAAACCUUUACACUGCACGCACGUGCGAUAAGGGGACUCCGAGUGCGAGGGCAUAUCGUCCUCGCUUUCGUGUACCGUAGGGUGGUACACCAACAAGGGCUGGGCAAGACCGGUGCCAGCCGCCGCGGUAAUACCGGCAGCCCGAGUGAUGGCCGAUCUUAUUGGGCCUAAAGCGUCCGUAGCUAAG
Molecule: ribosomal RNA, 528 nt
Filed under: uncultured Haloquadratum sp.
Lineage: Archaea; Methanobacteriati; Methanobacteriota; Halobacteria; Halobacteriales; Haloferacaceae
Description: bacterial SSU rRNA
Rfam family: Archaeal small subunit ribosomal RNA
Source: RNAcentral